This 253-nucleotide ribosomal RNA is filed under the name uncultured bacterium. Its description in RNAcentral is "partial 16S ribosomal RNA". It matches the Rfam family "Bacterial small subunit ribosomal RNA", at positions 524 to 776 of the family's 1533-position model. The record is from RNAcentral.
UACGGAGGGGACUAGCGUUGUUCGGAAUUACUGGGCGUACAGCGCACGUAGGCGGAUUUGUAAGUCAGGGGUGAAAUCCCGAGGCUCAACCUCGGAACUGCCUUUGAUACUGCAAAUCUCGAGUCCGGAAGAGGUGAGUGGAAUUCCUAGUGUAGAGGUGAAAUUCGUAGAUAUUAGGAAGAACACCAGUGGCGAAGGCGGCUCACUGGUCCGGUACUGACGCUGAGGUGCGAAAGCGUGGGGAGCAAACAGG